Molecule: long non-coding RNA, 948 nt
Filed under: Gossypium barbadense (sea-island cotton)
Lineage: Eukaryota; Viridiplantae; Streptophyta; Magnoliopsida; Malvales; Malvaceae
Description: long non-coding RNA (GBAR_LNC019899)
Source: RNAcentral
UACAUAAGUUGUAGAUAGAUAUAUCACAAACCCAACAGAAGCAAUUUAGUUUCGUCAUAAUGUCAUGUGCAUGGUUGUAGAGGCCCAAUUUAGCCCAGGCCCGAAACAAAACCAAAAUAAUAAAAUGACCCAUGUACAACAGGCCCAAAACGGCCCAGAUUCUAAACGGCCCAAGGGGGCCCAAAGACUAGGCAAGCACAGGGAACCCUAGGGUUCCCUCUCCUUUGCGUCGCUCCUCCUCGGGCGCAACGCCCACGCCUCAUCCCGAGGCCUGCCCAGCCUCCAUUGACACCAAAAUAGCAAUCCUCUCCGUUGACCCCCGACACCUGCAAAAAAAGACCAAAAGAAGCAGCACAGAAACGGCAACGAGAAGACAGAAACAAAAGCAAAACAUAGAAAAGAAAAUAGCGAACAGUAACAUGGACCAACAGUGUAAUCGUGGCUAUAAAAGCCACUAAAAUAACCUUGUAAAAAAAAAGAUCAAUCGAAUAGAAAAGGAGAGCAAAAGUCAAUCAAAAAAGGUUGAUAAUCUCUUUUAUCUUCAAGUUUCUACUCCUGUUUUUUAAUUUUUAUUUUUUCUUUUUCGAAUAUUAUUAUAAGUAUAAAGAGGAAAAGGGGUUAAAACGUACCUGGGGGUUGGGUCGUGCGCCGUCGACGGAGGUCCCCUCCGUUCGUCAAGGUCACGAAAGCCUUUCGAGGGUUCGUUCGUGUUGCAAUCGAGGGCAAAAGCCGAAAGGCCAUUUCUUUUUCUUUGCCAUUUCGUUUUUUUAAGUACCUAAAUUGGUUCUGUUACCUUUUUUUUAAAAAAAAAAAAAGGAAAGGGAUAAAAGAAGCCUCACCAAGGCGCACCGUCGGAACCUCUUCUGUCGGUCUUCGUCGGAGCCGAAGGGGAGCACCGAAUGUGAGGCGGCUGAGGGUGAGGGAGAUCUGUCUCUUUUAGGAAUUAAA